RNAcentral lists this ribosomal RNA (445 nucleotides) under uncultured bacterium. RNAcentral's name for it is "bacterial SSU rRNA". It matches the Rfam family "Bacterial small subunit ribosomal RNA", at positions 330 to 792 of the family's 1533-position model. The record is from RNAcentral.
CCCAGACUCCUACGGGAGGCAGCAGUGGGGGAUAUUGCACAAUGGGGGAAACCCUGAUGCAGCGACGCCGCGUGGGUGAAGAAGCGCCUCGGCGCGUAAAGCCCUGUCAGCAGGGAAGAAAAUGACGGUACCUGAAGAAGAAGCCCCGGCUAACUACGUGCCAGCAGCCGCGGUAAUACGUAGGGGGCAAGCGUUAUCCGGAUUUACUGGGUGUAAAGGGAGCGUAGACGGCAGUGCAAGUCCGGAGUGAAAGCCCGGGGCUCAACCCUGGGACUGCUCUGGAAACUGUAAAGCUGGAGUGCGGGAGGGGCGGGCGGAAUUCCUGGUGUAGCGGUGAAAUGCGUAGAUAUCAGGAGGAACACCGGCGGCGAAGGCGGCCUGCUGGACCGUAACUGACGUUGAGGCUCGAAAGCGUGGGGAGCAAACAGGAUUAGAUACCCGAGUA